AGUCAUCACAAGUGCCUUCAAAGAAACAAGCGGGUAGCAAAAGAUUCAGCACUGUACAUUGCACAAAAUCAGUACUUGGAGAGCUCCAUGAACUUAAAACAUUUAUGAAACGAGUAGUGUAAUCCUACAGAUUGAUUAAACUUAGAUGAAGCAUUCAACCAGUAGCAACCCUGCUGGAAAUAGAAUAUACUUUCUUUUAACUCAACACGUAUUGUGAACAUGUACUCAUCAAACCCAAAGUUGGUGAAUAGCAUAUGAGGACGUAUUAUGAACUCCUCGAGUUGGCGUAGUCCUUUGGCUCAUCAUUGUCGUCGCUGCUGCUCCUUUCUACACCUGGUGUGAAAUCAUUGUCUACAGAUUCAGUCCCUUGGUCUGCACUAAGCUGUUCUUCACCACCAUUGUGCGAGGUCCCAGGGCUCCCACCAAAUUCAGAGUUGUCCAAGAAGUCAUUACUAGCGGAAACACCAGCGUUGUAACUUCCACUACUCCCACCACCAUAUCCAGCCCCAAAACUAUCCCCACCAUAGCUGCCACCACCUGCAGGGUAACUGUUGUUGCUACCAUAGUUACCACCACCUCCAUAAUUCCCAUAUGAGUAACCUCCAGCUCCCCCACCAUAGCUAAAUCCACCUCCACCACCAGAACCACGCCCGAAUCCUCCAGGACGCUUUUCUGUGGCAUAAUUCACCCUUAUCCGUCUCCCGUGGAGAUCCUGGCCAUCCAAGGCACUCAGGGCACUUGAUGCUUCUUCAGCAGAUGUAUAAGUAACAAAACCAAACCCUCUGGAUCUCCCACUGUCACGAUCAAAAAUAACUCUAGCUUCAAUCACUUGACCAUGUUGGGAGAAUGCCUCUCGCAGAGAGGUCUCAUCAGUGCCAUAUGAGAGACCUCCAACAAAAAGCUUUGAAGAAGACAUGCUUCUUAUAGCCUGGUAAAGUGAGGUUCUAGUGGCACACAAUUCCAAAUUUGUGUGUCUGCUUACACUCUGUUUAAGCAUAUUUCCAAUUCUAUUGAAUAAAGCCAUCUUUAAAACCUUCGAAGAUUUUUUUUAUUUAUUUUUUCUUAUACCCAG
This 1072-nucleotide unclassified non-coding RNA is filed under the name Hevea brasiliensis (rubber tree). The record is from RNAcentral. Lineage: Eukaryota; Viridiplantae; Streptophyta; Magnoliopsida; Malpighiales; Euphorbiaceae.